This is a long non-coding RNA of Lagopus muta (rock ptarmigan), 564 nucleotides long. RefSeq lists it as uncharacterized. The transcript has 3 exons. NCBI's taxonomy places the organism in Eukaryota, Metazoa, Chordata, Aves, Galliformes, Phasianidae. The record is from RefSeq and is a predicted model, not a curated record.
CUCGCUGUGAGUUUUCUGCCUCCUUUCUUCAGUAAUUUUUUACAUCUAUAUGUAUACAUAUUUUCUUUUGUUUAUAAGAGAGUUGGUUUACGUGCUAGUGAAUGAUAGUUCUCUAUCUCAUUACUGGAAAGCUGGAGAGAGAAGGGCACAGAUCUCCUCACUAGUGUUGCUGGCUUCCAGCUGGCCUUAGAUGUUUUUUGUGUUUGUCUACAAGAGCAACAAGACUUUUUAGCUGCCUGUGCACUAUGAUAGAACGUUACAAUGAGACAGAGUACCCUGACCUUGGGGAAAGGCUCUAACCUAGUGUUUUUAUAGAGAUGAGGAAGCAGCUUUGACAAGUGGAAUUUAAGCCCUGGAUGGUCCUGGACUAUCUAGCCAUUGCUUAAUCUUCUUAAUAUGAUGCCAUGCAUUACUGAAAAGCAUUCAGGAGCUACUGAGUUGUACAAGGAAACCUGGAUUGAAAUCAUCCUUCAUUUGCCCCUUGUGUGCUAUACUACAUGCAGCUUCAACACUGUGAAUUUCACAGCACUAGCAACUUUCCAAAAGCUGCCAUAUAGCCUAUAC